ACCUCAAAAAGGACCCCUCACCUCAUUUUGGGACAUUUUGCUUCAUUUAAAGACCCCUCACCCCAAACCGGGCCACUUUUCCCUCAUUCCGGGGCCCUUUUCCCUCAUUUCGGGACCUUUUUACCUCAUUUCGGGACCCCACACCUCACACCGGGCCACUUUUACCUCAUUUUGGGACCCUUCCACCUCCUUUAACCCCCCUUUACCUCACGCCGGGCCCCUUUUACCUCAUUUUGGGCCCCUUUAUCUCAUUUUGCGACCCUUUCACCUCAUUUUGGGCCCCUUCCACCCCCCCACACCCCGCGUUUCCCCCUUU
This 316-nucleotide long non-coding RNA is filed under the name Anas zonorhyncha (Eastern spot-billed duck). RNAcentral's name for it is "lncRNA (ENSAZOG00000012821.1)". Lineage: Eukaryota; Metazoa; Chordata; Aves; Anseriformes; Anatidae. The record is from RNAcentral.